GGCAGGAUAAGCUAAGGAAGCUAGUGGGCUCAUGCCCCGAAAAUGGCGCACUUGUGCGCCUCUUGCUA
RNAcentral lists this transfer RNA (68 nucleotides) under Pseudorimula sp. RSIO35641. RNAcentral's name for it is "tRNA-Met". The record is from RNAcentral. Lineage: Eukaryota; Metazoa; Mollusca; Gastropoda; Lepetellida; Lepetodrilidae.